CACUCCCCCCGCCGCCACACACACACACAACCCCACGCUCCAUCACUCCCCUGCCCCAAUCUUACCUCCUUUUACUUCAUGCCACCUCCAAACCCCACCCCGCCCCUUCCCGCCCUGUCAAAAUCCAGGAAAGACAGGAAGGAAGGAAAGAAGGAAGAAAGAGAAGGGGAGGUAAAGAAAAAGGGGGAAGGAAGGAAAGUUAGAGAAAGAAGGAAGAAGAAAAGGAAAGAAAAGGAAAGAUGGAAGGAAAGAAAAGAGAGACAGCAGAAGAGAAAGAAAAAGGGGGAAGGAAGGAAAGAGGUAGAGAAGGAAGAAAUGAGAGACAGAGGGAGGGAAAGAAAAAGGGGGAAGGAAGGAAGGAGAGAAGGAAAGAAAAAAGGGAAUGAAGGAAGGAAAGAGGGAGUGAAGGAAGGGCGAAGAUGUAGAGAAAGAGGGAGGGAAGGAAAGAAGGAAAGAGAGAAGGAAGAAAAGAGACCAGAAGAGAAAGAAAAAGGGGGAAGGAAGGAAGGAGAGAAGAAAAAAGGGAAUGAAGGAAGGAAAGAGGGAGUGAAGGAAGGGGGAAGAUGUAGAGAAAGAGGGAGGGAAGGAAAGAAGGAAAGAGAGAAGGAAGAAAAGAGACCAGAAGAGAAAGAAAAAGGGGGAAGGAAAGAGAUAGAGAAGGAAGAGGAGAAGGAAAGAUGGGAGGGAAGGAAGGAAGGAAGGAGGGAAAGAAG
Anolis sagrei ordinatus is the source of this 713-nucleotide non-coding RNA. NCBI's taxonomy places the organism in Eukaryota, Metazoa, Chordata, Lepidosauria, Squamata, Anolidae. The record is from RefSeq and is a predicted model, not a curated record.